Molecule: RNA transcript, 4066 nt
Organism: Oncorhynchus kisutch (coho salmon)
Lineage: Eukaryota; Metazoa; Chordata; Actinopteri; Salmoniformes; Salmonidae
Gene name: nucleosome assembly protein 1-like 1-B
Exons: 14
Source: RefSeq, a predicted model, not a curated record
AUAUGAGCGCAAGCGGCGGGAUGGUUCUCUCUUUUACCGCCAUAAGAGCGGAGUCUUUUGCUUUGGGACCGCUUCACUGCGUAGAUCCACCUAGUCAAGCCGCCAGCUAAAGCAUCACUCGAGACUUGGCUAAGAUGGCAGACAUGGACAAUAAGGACCAGGCUGAGCUGGACCCGGCAGAUUUGGAGGACGUGGAGGACGUGGAAGAGGAGGAGACUGGAGAGGAUGUCAACAGCAAAGUGCCUGGCUUUGUCCGUCUCCCCUCAGCUCGUCAGCUCACCGUGCAGAUGAUGCAGAACCCACAGAUUCUGGCCGCGUUGCAGGAGAGGCUGGACGGCCUGGUGGGCUCGCCGUCAGGAUACAUGGAGAGCUUACCAAAGGUAGUGAAGAGACGGGUCAACGCCCUAAAGAACCUACAAGUGAAAUGCGCCCACAUUGAGGCCAAGUUCUACGAAGAGGUCCAUGAACUGGAGAGAAAGUACGCCGCUCUCUACCAACCCCUCUUCGACAAGCGAAGUGACAUAGUUAAAGCAGCCUAUGAGCCCACAGAGGAGGAGUGUGAGUGGAAGGCUGAUGAGGAGGAAGAGUUGACAGAGGAGAUGAAGGAGAAGGCCAAGGUGGAAGAGGAGAAGAAGGAUGAGGAGAAGGAGGACCCCAAAGGCGUUCCCGAGUUCUGGCUAACGGUUUUCAAGAACGUCGACCUGCUUAGCGACAUGGUGCAGGAACAUGAUGAACCCAUCCUCAAGCAAUUACAAGAUGUCAAAGUCAAAUUCUCGGACCCUGGCCAGCCCAUGAGCUUUUCUUUAGAAUUCAACUUUGAGCCCAAUGAGUUCUUCACAAACACUUUGUUGACAAAAACCUACAAGAUGAGGUCUGAGCCUGAUGAGAACGACCCCUUCUCCUUCGAUGGGCCUGAGAUCAUGGGCUGCACAGGUUGUACGAUCGACUGGACGAAGGGCAAGAACAUCACCCUGAAGACGAUCAAGAAGAAGCAGAAGCACAAGGGGCGUGGCACAGUCAGGACGGUCACCAAGACAGUCCCCAACGACUCUUUCUUCAACUUCUUCACCCCGCCUGAUGUCCCUGAAAGUGGAGAUAUGGACGAGGACACCGAGGCUGUCCUCGCCGCUGACUUUGAGAUCGGCCACUUCAUCCGCGAGCGUAUCGUCCCCAGGGCUGUGCUGUACUUCACGGGGGAGGCCAUCGAGGAUGACGAUGAUGAUUACGAUGAGGAGGGAGAGGAGGCUGAUGACGAGGAGGGUGAGGAGGAGGGAGAGGAGGAGAAUGACCCUGACUAUGACCCCAAGGUGGGUAGGAGAGCUUACUGUUGAUGUUGUCAUGACCUAAUGUGAGACCAACGAUCAGAAGUAUCAGAUUUCAACAUACAGAAUUGAAUGUGUACCGCUACUCCAAAUGCAUCAUGAACACCAGCCGCCAUGAUGGAUUUUUCUGUCUAUAUACUACUGCAUCCCACGUCGCCUCAGAACACACAGCCUUUGGAACCGUUUCCCUGUCCCCUUGCCUCUAGUGUAAGGGCUGGAUUUCCAGACACACAUUAAGCCUGGUCCUGGACUAUAAAGCAGUCUACAUUUGUGUUUUGGUACACCAAAGUACAUUUUAUUUCCAGUGGCACGCUGCAUUGGCCUUGCAGCACUGUUGCAGUGCUUUCUGUGUGGUGGAUACGUUGGAUUAAUGGAAUGUAUGUUAGAUGGCUUGACAGAACUGGUAGCAGAAGGUGAAUGUUGAACUUUUGUUACACAUCAAAAUGAUGCUGCAUAACAUUUUGCUCAAUGACGCUAUCGGUGUGAUUGAGGCGUUAGUCCAGGAUUCGUCUCAUUCUGUGUCCUGGAAACUUCUAGAAUGAGAGAUAGUAAAAGAGUGGUAUUUCGAAAUGGUCUCAAAAUAUCACUUUAAGAACUUAAUCAAAUACCCUUUUGUGAGCGUCUGAUCAUGGGGAAUGUUUUUCCCACGUUUCCUUUUCAACGGAAUGCCUUGAAAGCAUGAUUCUACUUGCUGUCUACAGCCUUGCUAAACUGAGACUGCAUGGAAAUUGGAAUCGGAUACUAAAUCUAUUCAGGUUUUGACUUUCAGUUUCAUAGCUCUGCAUGCCAAAGCUUUAUUUGAUUUUGUUUGGGUGAAUGGGAACAGUACUUCUCUUUGCUGUAUAAAGCCUCUAGAAUUCUGUAUUCUGCCUAUUUUUUGCCUUUAAUUCAUUAAUGUUCAUCUCCAAUCACUUGGCACCUUUUGUCAGCUAUACUCUUUAAAUUUUUCCUCACUAGGUUUAAGUGAUGUCUGUAGAAAAUAACCCUCUCCUGAAGGACGCAAAUCCCCCAGCCGAGUGCAAGCAGCAGUGAAGGCUGUGGCUUUGAGGAUCAACUGCACUGUAACAGCUUCUCAAAUAAAACACUUACUUACGCCUUAUAAUGUUUUGUAUUUUUCUUGGUAGAAAUAAAAAAUAAAGGGUUUCAAGAUUUUUGUUACAAAAACCUCCUAAUAUAAUGUGAGCAGUGGCUCGAUAUGCAUAGUAUUUUACUAGACCCCCACCCCCCCCUGUACAAAUAGUUAGAAUGCCACAAACUCCCUGAAAGCAUGAUCUUGUUUCUCUCACUGCUAAACUAGUUUGGGUUCUUGUGAAGUUUUUGUUGUAUUGCUCUUGGACAACAGCUGUGGUUAGACUGCAUUGAGGCAGGUGAUGAGAAAGUCAACCUAUUCCUUUUCCCUCGCGUUACCGGUCCGUUCAGGUUGUGGGUUGGAAUUCGUUGUCAUUGUAUUAGUGGGCUGGGCCUCGAGCACGGUCAGAGCAAAACACUGCAUUUAGUCAUGGCUAAUGAAAAACUUAAUCGCUGUGCACAUUCGGUCACUCAAGCAUGCCAUUUAGAGCAGGGAAAGUGGUUAUUGGCCACUUGUUUGGGCUGAAUCAAGUUGUCAAUCUAAAACAUUCCAGUUUGCAGACUGACAGGCAUUGGUUGUUUUGAAUGCUCUCUUGGGAUGAAUAUUACCUCGACUACAUGGUCUGAUUUGUUAAAGAAACAGCACCAUGUGUUAGCUGCUAAAUUUAAUGAUCCGAGUCUGCAACGUAUUGGUUUCUAUAAAAUACUGUUCUUUCUGAAUUUUAAUUUGCGUUAAGGGAAUGUUUUUCCUCCACCACGCAGCUUGGUCUUGUCCAGUCCUUAACAUUCCAGAUGAUUUGACGAGGGACAGUUCCAAGGUUUCGCCAGCAGGGGGCAUCCCAUGCCCAAUCUGCUUCAGGCUCUUGUUAGGCCUACAGUUUACUCGUCUUUUUCUAUAGCACUUUGUACUACUUAGUCAUGUAUCAGUGGUGUCCUCUAUGGUUGGCUGUCGGUCCAGUAGCCCUUGUGCAAAUCGAAGUGAGCAGUACUUUGGAGGUGGCCGUGUCAUACAGCGCCCUGACGAUGCCCUAUGGGCUUUCUCCUGCGCCAUGAAACAUUUCCCUGUAAUACAUGAUUCUCCCAAGUGCAUUACUCUUUAAUUUGGGAAUCCCACUUUACUUGUGUACUCUGAUAGCAAUAGGUUCGCAACGGGUUCCCUUCGGAGGAAGAAAACAACCAAAUUCAGGCUUAUGUUGGCAUGUGGUUGUGGCUUUUGAGCCCUGUAACUCUCGAGGUUAAGCUCGUGCCGGUCUGGUCCCUGAGCAUACGGCUAAUUUAUCACUGUGAAGGAAAGGUGGCAAUGAGUUCUGGUAGAAGUCCUGUCUUGACUGCCCUCUGUAGCCAACCCCACCCAGCAGGUCACACUGAAGCAUGUAAGAGCAAUACUUAGUCAGGGAAUGGAAAUAAAAGGAAGUAGCUUAAGCCCACCCACCUUGUCCUUUAGUGGAAACAGUCAUGUCGGUGUAUGUUGGGUGGUGGCGCCCUCGCUGCUGCCUCUAGUGGAGCUCUAGAGAGUACUGCUGCAGUCAGUAGGAGAUUACGUCUGGACUGUUCUAGGGACGACUGGAUUCUGUCUGACUCCUUGAGCAGCUGUUGUCAAAGCUAAAUGCUAUGCUACAAAUACUAAAUGUACUCAAUAACUGUAUGUAUAUUCAUGAAUAAAUUGGUUAAACGUG